UAACGCGUGAGAAUCUGCCCUUAGGACGGGGACAACAGCUGGAAACGGCUGCUAAUACCCGAUGUGCCGAGAGGUGAAACAUUUAUGGCCUGAGGAUGAGCUCGCGUCUGAUUAGCUAGUUGGUGGGGUAAGAGCCUACCAAGGCGACGAUCAGUAGCUGGUCUGAGAGGAUGAUCAGCCACACUGGGACUGAGACACGGCCCAGACUCCUACGGGAGGCAGCAGUGGGGAAUUUUCCGCAAUGGGCGCAAGCCUGACGGAGCAAGACCGCGUGCGGGAGGACGGCCUAUUGGUUGUAAACCGCUUUUGAUAGGGAAGAAGUACUGACGGUACCUAUCGAAUCAGCAUCGGCUAACUCCGUGCCAGCAGCCGCGGUAAUACGGAGGAUGCAAGCGUUAUCCGGAAUUAUUGGGCGUAAAGCGUCCGUAGGUGGUUGUUCAAGUCUGCUGUUAAAGCGUGCGGCUUAACCGCAUACCAGCAGUGGAAACUGGACGACUAGAGUGCGGUAGGGGUCAGGGGAAUUCCCAGUGUAGCGGUGAAAUGCGUAGAUAUUGGGAAGAACACCGGUGGCCGAAAGCGCCUGACUGGACCUGCACUGACACUGAAGGACAAAGCUAGGGUAGCGAACGGGUUAUAAACCACAUUUCUCCACGCUC
This 656-nucleotide ribosomal RNA is filed under the name Geitlerinema sulphureum PUPCCC 110.2. Its description in RNAcentral is "bacterial SSU rRNA". It matches the Rfam family "Bacterial small subunit ribosomal RNA", at positions 111 to 802 of the family's 1533-position model. The record is from RNAcentral. Lineage: Bacteria; Bacillati; Cyanobacteriota; Cyanophyceae; Geitlerinematales; Geitlerinemataceae.